CAUUAGGUGGCUGAAAGUAAGCAAUGGAAUUUUAAACCAUACUAUAGUAAUUUACAUCUACUUCUAAUGA
This 70-nucleotide transfer RNA is filed under the name Monochamus alternatus (Japanese pine sawyer). RNAcentral describes it as "tRNA-Lys". The record is from RNAcentral. Lineage: Eukaryota; Metazoa; Arthropoda; Insecta; Coleoptera; Cerambycidae.